AGCUUGGGUUGCCUCCCAAGUAACGCUUGGUUUAUAAUCUUCAACCUAAUUCUUCAUUUGCUUAAGAGUCUUCUGAUAAGGGCAAGGUGACAGUUUGACGAUCAACCGAGCUACCCCAAUAAUGCUUUAACCUUUGAACCAUUGACUUGAAAUUUCUUUUCAUCUUUUCCUUCUAGCUCUACAACCCUGCGGCCAUGAAUUCUCACCAUAGUGAAUGGACCAGACCACCUAGACUUUAGCUUCCCAGGAAAAAGUUUGAGCUUUGAAUUGUAUAAUAAAACUUGUUGACUUGGUUGAAAGGUUCUAGCAAGGAUUUUGAUGCUACCAAAUAUUAAGAUGCACCAUAAGUGUGUGGGUUAUAAAAAAAAGAAAGUGGCAAAUCAAGAUCGAUCCCACAGAGAACUCAAUUAAUUAGUGAUUAGGCAAUACAAAUCUUCUUUUCGUUUAAGUUGAGUAAAUCAAAAUUCAUGAAAUUGGGUAGAAAGAAAUUUAAAAUAAACAAAACAAAGCUU
This is a long non-coding RNA of Neltuma alba, 512 nucleotides long. RefSeq lists it as uncharacterized. The record is from RefSeq and is a predicted model, not a curated record. The transcript has 2 exons. NCBI's taxonomy places the organism in Eukaryota, Viridiplantae, Streptophyta, Magnoliopsida, Fabales, Fabaceae.